This 245-nucleotide ribosomal RNA is filed under the name uncultured bacterium. Its description in RNAcentral is "partial 16S ribosomal RNA". It matches the Rfam family "Bacterial small subunit ribosomal RNA", at positions 524 to 768 of the family's 1533-position model. The record is from RNAcentral.
UACGUAGGGGGCAAGCGUUGUCCGGAUUUAUUGGGCGUAAAGAGCGUGUAGGCGGCCUGGUAGGUCGGUCGUGAAAACUCGAGGCUCAACUUCGAGACGUCGACCGAAACCCUCAGGCUAGAGUCCGGAAGAGGAGAGCGGAAUUCCUGGUGUAGCGGUGAAAUGCGCAGAUAUCAGGAAGAACACCCGUGGCGAAGGCGGCUCUCUGGGACGGUACUGACGCUGAGACGCGAAAGCGUGGGGAG